This is a non-coding RNA of Phascolarctos cinereus (koala), 311 nucleotides long. The record is from RefSeq and is a predicted model, not a curated record. Lineage: Eukaryota; Metazoa; Chordata; Mammalia; Diprotodontia; Phascolarctidae.
CAGGGGAUAAAAGGAGGAUACAGCAUAUAGGAGUCAGAACAAUCUACUUCAUAGUACAAUGGUCCUGAAGCUAGGAGAUGACCGCACCACCAACUUGCAGGCAGUUGCAUAGAAGAGGGAUAACAGGACUCAUUGAAGCAUUCAUCUUCUGGACCGUUGUGAUCUUUUGGACAAGUCUCCAAUAUAUGAAUGGCAGUUUGCCUUCUGAAUCUUUUCUCCCUGCCCAUCUCUGUAGUCAUGAACAAGGAAGCAAUGAGGACCUGGAAUGGAGGAGCAUGGCUCUCAGAUGCUUUGCUGGUGGAUCAAGAGAU